Asterias rubens (European starfish) is the source of this 3569-nucleotide long non-coding RNA. RefSeq lists it as uncharacterized. NCBI's taxonomy places the organism in Eukaryota, Metazoa, Echinodermata, Asteroidea, Forcipulatida, Asteriidae. The transcript is spliced from 2 exons. The record is from RefSeq and is a predicted model, not a curated record.
GUGUCCAGUACCUUUUACUUUUCCAGUGACUAGCCAGCAGGACCAGGGCUAGUCUUGGUGCAAGACGUUUCUCGUUUACCUUUCACGCACAGCGCAGCCAUCUCACCAACAGUCCCCCCAACGACUGCCCGUAAACCUGACUUAGCCCACGAAUCGCAGUCAGGUUAGUGUAUACGGGCGGUCGUUGCGGGCACUAUUGGUGAGACGGCCGUGCUGUGCGUGAGAGGUGAGAGGUAGGAAAAUCCACGUUUACAGGCAUAGCCGUAGCUAUAGCAACCAAUUCAGAAACAGCCUAAAUCUCUAACCAUGGAGGAUGGAAAUUGUUUUCCUCCGUGCUCUAACUAUGAACAUGUAAUUCAAUAAACAUGAUUGCUCAAAUUAUCGCAAUGGAUUGGUAAAAAAAUAAUGCCAUAUAUGUAUCUGCAAAAUAUAUACAAUUAGUUGUGAAAUAUUUGGAAAGCUUGAAAAAUUACCUCAAUCACGUAACUCUUGCUGUAAAUGUGAAGAUAGUCAAAAAAACAUAUAUCCAUGACAACUAUACUACUCGGAUGUGCUUCCUGUUUGACAAGGUCCUCAAUAAGAAUUUACUGAUUUCUCUAAUUUGAAAUAAUGGCAGAUGAAAACUUGAUCUGUUUUACAUUCAUUGGGGUCAAAACUUGUUUGAACAUUGAACAAAUUGUAUCAAAUGGUUUGUUGGUCAUAGAAACAUGGUACCUAGAUUCUGCUUAGCAAGAUUUGUCUGUGCUUAGCACAUAUUGUGCUGCGUGCAUACAAAGCACAAAAUGAGUCUUGGUUACCAGCUGAAAUGGCAUAUGUUGCCUUGGAAUGGUACCCUACCACUUUUUUUCCUGCUUAGUAGCCACAGGAAAUGACUCCGCUUUAAACACUUCCUUUGGUCCGGAAAAGUUUCUUCCCGUUUCCGAUCCUGAGUAAGCAGAUAAUGGCCUGCAAAACUGUCACCAUUUCUAUAAAUGGUAGAGUUGUGCUACUGAGAAAACAAACAAUAACAUACAGUUCCUGGUCACUCCGUUGUCAAAUUUCAUUCAAAUUCCAGUGAGAUUUUCAGGAAUAUGUGGUUACCACAUCCAUCGGUGUUGAAUAUUUUUUUUUUUUUCGUCAACGGGAAAAAGUAGCUAUUCUGAAUUCCCAUGAAUUUCUCGACUCAAUUUAUUAAAAAUUCCAUGAUAGAAUGUGGAAAAAAUGUAUGAGUUAAGGGCACAUUGCCUUCCACUUUGUGGAUUUCAGUGAUUCAGCCUCGGACCUUGCAGAAAUAUUUGAAGUGCUGGGAAGUUGGAUUGUUCAGUUGAUAACUUAUAACAUAUUGUAAAUAUAUAGUGGAUUCAAAUAUAACAAUAAAGCAGUUUCGUUUUCACUUUUUGUGUAAUUAAAUACAUUAAAAAAAAACAUUAGAGCAUUGAAUAUGUACAUAAAGAUGGCCUGAGUUUACUUGUGGCGGCCAUUAAUGUCUGGCACCUUGUCUUGCAUUAAUUGUUUGCCUAAUGGAGACACUUGGUGGCUUUGUUGCUAUGGUGGUACCAUGCUUGACUAAAACCUCUUGUCUUCAUUAGUUGAGGAAUUGGAGAAGACCUUUCAUUUAAUGAAUCUUUGUGCAGUGGAGUUUUCUGUUGCUCUUUUUGCUGUUGACUGAAGUUUGUGACUCAACUUGGGUCAUUGACUCAAUAUGGACUGUUGUAUAAAUUGAGCUAUUUCUCAACUUGAGCUACUGCUCUUUUGCAGCUGUUUCUCAAUUGGGUUUUUGUUUUAACUUGGGCUGUUCUUUAGAGCUUUCUAUAGUUUCUACAUAAACUCAUGACGUUUUAGUUUUGCGUGAAAAACAAAAUAUAAAAAACUUAUUAUGUGUAAGUUUUCUUAGAUAUCUCUAUACCUCUUGAAUAUUAUAUUCACUUAUUUAUUUUCCAAUUGCCUUCCUCGUUGAAUUUGUCUUUUCAGCCUAAAGUCUUGUCUAGAUAUUUUUUCUUAUUCAAUUUCUAGAAAUCAUGAAGUUAAAGAAAAGCUUUUCCUCUGUAAAUAUUAUAUUAUUAACAAAAUAAAAAGUUUUAUGAAACUAAAAUGUAGUUUGCAUGUAGGCGGAGCCCAUUAUGACUGUAACCAAGUUUUGAGAGGUCACAGAAUGACUUGACCUAUGACCCAUGUCAGUGACUUUUGACCUAGAUUGGGAAGCGUCAGUUGGAGGCAUUGAAGCCUUAAUUUCUUUAACUUCAUUACAGUAAAUAGUAGAUAUGAAUGUUGGAACCUGUGUUUAGUGACAUGCUAUUAGGCAUGUCCGUCUUAUGUUGGUUAGAGGUAUGUGUAUAAUGUAAUGUGCACAUAUUGAGUGUUUUUUGACCUGGUAGGAACAGGUACAAACUGAGUGUUUUUUGACCUGGUAGGAACAUGAGCACAUUGAGUGUUUUGUACCUGAUAGGAACAGGUGCACACUGAGUGUUUUGUACCUGAUAGGAACAGGUACAAACUGAGUGUUUUGUACCUGAUAGGAACAGGUACAAACUGAGUGUUUUGUACCUGAUAGGAACAGGUACAAACUGAGUGUUUUGUACCUGAUAGGAACAGGUGCACACUGAGUGUUUUGUACCUGAUAGGAACAGGUGCACACUGAGUGUUUUGUACCUGAUAGGAACAGGUGCAAAUUGAGUGUUUUGUGACCUUCUAGGAACAGGUGCAAGUUGAGUGUUUUGUAUCUGGUGGGAACAGGUACAAAUUGAGUGUAGGGGACUAUACGAUGAAUUACUUUGUGGUCGUUUUGGUCUUAAGUAAAGUUGGCAAUUAAUGUUAAAAUUUUCAAAGCAUGUUUAAAACAUAUUUGUGAAAAUGUAGCCCCCAUUUAGUUAUUAUGUUUUGCAGAAAACCAAAAAUACAGAGUCGCAAUGAGAUAAUUGGGAUAGCCGAUUCCAUCUUUAACGAUUUAGUUAUUUACUUUAAUAUCAGAUUGUUGUAGAUAAUGCUGCUUCCUUGCGUUGUUGCCAGUGUUUUCUUUUCAUUUGCGACAUUGCUGUUUCAAAUAAAUUGGGUCAACAAAUACCAGCGCACAAUUCUGUCGGCUCAAGAAGUAUGUUCUGAAGGGUCCACUUCUGCUUUGGUUUUAUGCUAUUGUUUUGCCAAAGAAAAAGUAGAAAAUACGACGCAGCUUGACAUGAACUUUAAGAUGGUUUUCUUUUUCAAUACCACAUUUUGUUUCACUUCCAAGCGACUUACAUUGUGCACAGAAAAAACUGCAUGUAGUUGUAUUUAAGUGGCUACGGUGUGGCUACUGGAUCUGAUUAUAUUCAAACAUGGACGCCAUAAGUCAUAGCCAACAACACAAAAUUCCUAAACAUUGUCAUUUUUGUUGUUGUUGGUUGUUUUUGUUUUUUUCGUUUUUUUAGUUUCCUUUAUGUAAUUUAAUAAUUUUAUUAUCAAAGUGUAAAGUAAAUAUAAUGUAGGAGAAAUUGUGAAAAUAUUUUAAGUGAAAGUUUAAAAGCUUCAGUAAAAAAUCAACAUGUAUUUACUAGAGCGUGAUAUAUUAAAAUUGGAGUGACUCCAACUAUAUUACUACCAGGAAAAAUAAUAAA